Molecule: long non-coding RNA, 1038 nt
Filed under: Naja naja (Indian cobra)
Lineage: Eukaryota; Metazoa; Chordata; Lepidosauria; Squamata; Elapidae
Description: lncRNA (ENSNNAG00000017486.1)
Source: RNAcentral
AUGGUGGUGAAUCACUUUCCGUUCUCCAGGAUUUCGGAGAGUCCUCUCCAUUUAUCCCGGUUGGCUUCGAGAAUCUUUGGGAGCUGCUGCGAAGACACCCCCAGCUCAUUGGGGGGAUGGUGGUGGGUCAUGAGGACUAGCCACUUUAGAGACCUUUCCUUCCUUCCUUCCCACCUUCUAAUUUUUCCUUCCUUCUUCCCUCCCUCCGUUUCCAUCUUUCCUCCGCCUCUUCCUUCCUUCCCAUCUUCUAAUUUUUCCUUCCUUCCUCCCUCCCUCCGAUUCCAUCUUUCCUCCUCUUCUUCCUUCCUGUCUUCCAAUUUUUCCUUCCUUCUUCCCUCCGUUUCCAUCUUUCCUCUGCCUCUUCCUUCCUUCCCAUCUUCUAAUUUUUCCUUCCUUCCUCCCUCCGUUUCCAUCUUUCCUCCGCAUCUCUUCCUUCCUUCCAUCUUCCAAUUUUUCCUUCCUUCCUCCCUCCCUCCGUUUCCAUCUUUCCUCCUUCUCUUCCUUCCUUCCCAUCUUCCAAUUUUUCCUUCCUUCCUCCCUCCCUCCAUUUCCAUCUUUCCUCCUCUUCCUUCCUUCCCAUCUUCCAAUUUUUCCUUCCUUCCUUCCUCCUCGUUCCAUCUUUCCUCCGCCUCUUCCUUCCUUCCAUCUUCAAUUUUCCUUCCUCCCUCCCUCCGAUUCCAUCUUUCCUCCUUCUCUUCCUUCCUUCCUCUCCUUUCUUUCCCAUCUUCCUUCCUAUCUCCCUUUCCUCUUUUUUUUGCCUUUUCCUUUCUUUCUCCCCCUCUUCUUCUUUCCCCUUUUUCUCACUCUAUUUCCCUCGUCCCGUCUUUUCCAGACUCUUCAAUCGAUUUGUGGGGAGUAGUGGGAGAAAAGGAGGGUUUUCUGACCGCCAGUCCAAAACUUCCCCUUUUGCUCAUCCAUCUGAGCCCAUUCCCCAAUUCCCGAGUCUGUCGGAGAAGAGAGCUUUUGCCUCCAGUCGAUCCUUUCGAUCCUUUCGAUAGAAAGAUUCACGGAGGAAGACGGCAUUUGCAACUCGGCUGA